CCUACGGGAGGCAGCAGUGAGGAAUAUUGGUCAAUGGGCGGGAGCCUGAACCAGCCAAGUCGCGUGAGGGAUGACGGCCCUAUGGGUUGUAAACCUUUUUUGCCGGGGAGCAAAGUGCCGCACGUGUGCGGUUUGGAGAGUACCCGGAGAAAAAGCAUCGGCAAACUCCGUGCCAGCCGCCGCGGUAAUACGGGGGAUGCGAGCGUUAUCCGGAUUUCUUGGGUUUAAAGGGUGCGUAGGCGGACGGUUAAGUCAGCGGUAAAAGUGCGGGGCUCAACCUCGUCGAGCCGUUGAAACUGGGUGCCUGGAGUGGGCGAGAGGUACGCGGAAUGCGUGGUGUAGCGGUGAAAUGCAUAGAUAUCACGCAGAACACCGAUGGCGAAGGCAGCGUACCGGCGCCCAACUGACGCUGAGGCACGAAGGCGUGGGUAUCGAACAGGAUUAGAUACCCUAGUAGUC
This 459-nucleotide ribosomal RNA is filed under the name uncultured bacterium. Its description in RNAcentral is "partial 16S ribosomal RNA". It matches the Rfam family "Bacterial small subunit ribosomal RNA", at positions 338 to 795 of the family's 1533-position model. The record is from RNAcentral.